This 253-nucleotide ribosomal RNA is filed under the name uncultured bacterium. Its description in RNAcentral is "partial 16S ribosomal RNA". It matches the Rfam family "Bacterial small subunit ribosomal RNA", at positions 524 to 776 of the family's 1533-position model. The record is from RNAcentral.
UACGUAGGGGGCAAGCGUUGUCCGGAUUUAUUGGGCGUAAAGAGCGUGUAGGCGGCCCGGUAAGUCCGCUGUGAAAGUCCAGGGCUCAACCCUGGGAUGCCGGUGGAUACUGUCGGGCUCGAGUCCGGAAGAGGAGAGUGGAAUUCCUGGUGUAGCGGUGAAAUGCGCAGAUAUCAGGAAGAACACCAAUGGCGAAGGCAGCUCUCUGGGACGGUACUGACGCUGAGACGCGAAAGCGUGGGGAGCGAACAGG